Molecule: ribosomal RNA, 429 nt
Filed under: Bacteroidota bacterium
Lineage: Bacteria; Pseudomonadati; Bacteroidota
Description: Bacteroidetes bacterium partial 16S ribosomal RNA
Rfam family: Bacterial small subunit ribosomal RNA
Source: RNAcentral
UAGGGAAUCUUCCGCAAUGGGCGAAAGCCUGACGGAGCAACGCCGCGUGAGUGAUGAAGGUCUUCGGAUCGUAAAACUCUGUUAUUAGGGAAGAACAAAUGUGUAAGUAACUAUGCACAUCUUGACGGUACCUAAUCAGAAAGCCACGGCUAACUACGUGCCAGCAGCCGCGGUAAUACGUAGGUGGCAAGCGUUAUCCGGAAUUAUUGGGCGUAAAGCGCGCGUAGGCGGUUUUUUAAGUCUGAUGUGAAAGCCCACGGCUCAACCGUGGAGGGUCAGUGGAAACUGGAAAACUUGAGUGCAGAAGAGGGAAGUGGAAUUCCAUGAGUAGCGGGAAAAUGCGCAGAGAUAUGGAGGAACACCAGUGGCGAAGGCGACUUUCUGGUCUGUAACUGACGCUGAUGUGCGAAAGCGUGGGGAUCAAACAGG